UACGUAGGGUGCAAGCGUUAAUCGGAAUUACUGGGCGUAAAGCGUGCGCAGGCGGUUGUGUAAGUCAGAUGUGAAAUCCCCGGGCUCAACCUGGGAAUUGCAUUUGAGACUGCACGGCUAGAGUGUGUCAGAGGGGGGUAGAAUCCACGUGUAGCAGUGAAAUGCGUAGAGAUGUGGAGGAACACCGAUGGCGAAGGCAGCCCCCUGGGCCAAGAUUGACGCUCAUGCACGAAAGCGUGGGGAGCAAACAGG
Molecule: ribosomal RNA, 252 nt
Filed under: uncultured bacterium
Lineage: Bacteria
Description: partial 16S ribosomal RNA
Rfam family: Bacterial small subunit ribosomal RNA
Source: RNAcentral